UUUUAGUGGUCUUAUUUUAUGUUUGGUUUGUUUAAUAAAUUAAUAAAAAAAUUUUUGAUUUUAGUAUAGUGUAUAGAAAAAUAUGUAUUUAUUAUAGUGUAAAGUACUGUGAGGGAAUGGUUUGUAAGUUUUAAAAGAAUAAUUAAAUUUUAGUACCUUUUGUAUCAGGGCCGAUUAAGUUUUUUGCAGAUGCAAGUUUCCCGAAUUUAUAAGAGUUAAUAGUUUAUAUUUUUUGUUGUGUCAUAAAGAUUAAUAAUAUACUAUUGGAAGUGAAAUGUUAUUCGGUUAUAAAUAUAUCUGGUUUCUUAAGAAGUUAAUUUAAUUAAGUGGUUUUUACAAUGGAUAUUAAUUUUAUUUGUGUUGUUGAAUACCUAAAAUAUUGAUUGGGAUGAGCUAGUCAAUGGGCCUAUAAUUUGUGUUUGGGAAGAAUUAUAUAGGAUUAGAAGUUUUCAUUGUAAAAGUUUGUUAUAAGUUUUUUUAUUUAAUUAUUAUUCUUUAUAUGGAAAAUUUAGGUUUGCUAUUAAGAUGUUGAUUUUAACUUUAAAUUUCAAUUGAUUAUGAUUGGAUUAGUAUAUAUAAAAUGUAAGUUAAAUUUUGUUGUUAGAUAAGUUUAAGGAAUUCGGCAAAUUUAUUUUUCACCUGUUUAUUAAAAACAUGUCUCUUUGAUAAUGAUUUAGAGUCUGGUCUGCCCACUGAUAAGUUGAAUGGCCGCAGUAUUUUGACUGUGCAAAGGUAGCAUAAUCAUUAGUUUUUUAAUUGAAAGCUGGAAUGAAAGGCUUGAUGAAAAAAUAGCUGUCUUGGGCUUAAAUUUAGAAUUUUAUUUUUGAGUUAAAAAGCUCAUAUAUAAUAGAAAGACGAGAAGACCCUAUAGAUUUUUACUUGUGGAAGAGCUAUUAGUAUUUGGAUUUAUAUUAUUGUUGUUUGAUAGCAAGUUUCGUUGGGGUGAUGGGAAAACUAGAAUAACUUUUCUUAUUUUAAACAUAAUUGUGUGUGUUUGUGAUCCUUAUAAAAGAUUAAAAGACUAAAUUACCUUAGGGAUAACAGCGUAAUUUUCUUGGAGAGUUCAAAUUGAUAGGAAAGGUUGCGACCUCGAUGUUGGAUUAAGGUUUAUUUAGGGUGCAGAAGCUUUAAAAUUGGGUCUGUUCGACCCAUAAAACCUUACAUGAUCUGAGUUUAGACCGGCGUGAGCCAGGUUGGUUUCUAUCUUCUUUAUAGUUUAAUAAUCUAGUACGAAAGGACCGGUUAUUAUAUUUAUAAUAUGGGAGAUUGAGUAAAAUU
This 1278-nucleotide ribosomal RNA is filed under the name Tenebrionoidea sp. 20 KM-2017. RNAcentral describes it as "16S ribosomal RNA". The stretch from base 849 to 1209 matches the Rfam family "Bacterial large subunit ribosomal RNA", at positions 2074 to 2646 of the family's 2925-position model. Lineage: Eukaryota; Metazoa; Arthropoda; Insecta; Coleoptera. The record is from RNAcentral.